AAUCACACGGUGGGGACACUUUCUUAAUAACUCUUUAAACUGCUCUCAUGCCACAUAUAAAUAUUCUUCAUCAAGUUGCUAAAAUAAAGUGAUUUCGUUGAGGAGCUU
This is a small nucleolar RNA of Gossypium raimondii (Peruvian cotton), 108 nucleotides long. It matches the Rfam family "Plant small nucleolar RNA R71". Rfam says of the family: R71 is a member of the C/D box family of snoRNAs containing the C (UGAUGA) and D (CUGA) box motifs. Multiple nearly identical copies of this snoRNA have been identified in Arabidopsis, and it is thought to function as a 2'-O-ribose methylation guide for 18S ribosomal RNA. The record is from Rfam. NCBI's taxonomy places the organism in Eukaryota, Viridiplantae, Streptophyta, Magnoliopsida, Malvales, Malvaceae.